RNAcentral lists this ribosomal RNA (494 nucleotides) under uncultured bacterium. RNAcentral describes it as "partial 16S ribosomal RNA". It matches the Rfam family "Bacterial small subunit ribosomal RNA", at positions 28 to 507 of the family's 1533-position model. The record is from RNAcentral.
GACGAACGCUGGCGGCGUGCUUAACACAUGCAAGUCGAACGGUGAAGCGCCUUCCUUUUUGGUGGGUGUGGACGAGCGGCGAACGGGUGCGUAACACGUGAGUAACCUGCCCCCUUCUUCUGGAUAACCGCAUGAAUGUUUCGCCAAAACGGGAUAUUCUGGGUCUGUCGCAUGAUGGGUCUGGGAAAGAUCUUGUUUCCGUAGGGGAUGGGCUCGCGGCUUAUCAGCUUGUUGGUGCGGUGAUGGCCUACCAUGGCGGUGAUGAGUAGCCGGCCUGGGAGGGUGGGCGGCCACAGUGGGGCGAAGCGGUCGAGCAGACUCCUGCAGGAAGCAGUGGGGAAGAAUAGAGCACAGGGGGAGGAAGGCUGAUGCAGCGACGCGGCGGUAGAGAUGGACGCCGGCGUGUUAUGAACCUCUUGCGGGGGGGAAGCGCGGUUGCCUCGUUUGUGGGUGGGUUGACGGUAGCUGGAGAAGAAGCGCCGGCUAACUACGUG